This 390-nucleotide ribosomal RNA is filed under the name uncultured bacterium. RNAcentral describes it as "bacterial SSU rRNA". It matches the Rfam family "Bacterial small subunit ribosomal RNA", at positions 97 to 520 of the family's 1533-position model. The record is from RNAcentral.
GGCGGACGGCGUGAGUAAGUACGUGGGAACGUGCCCUUUGGUUCGGAAUAACUCAGGGAAACUUGAGCUAAUACCGGAUGUGCCCUUCGGGGGAAAGAUUUAUCGCCAUUGGAGCGGCCCGCGUCUGAUUAGCUAGUUGGUGAGGUAAAGGCUCACCAAGGCUACGAUCAGUAGCUGGUCUGAGAGGAUGAUCAGCCACACUGGGACUGAGACACGGCCCAGACUCCUACGGGAGGCAGCAGUGGGGAAUCUUGCGCAAUGGGCGAAAGCCUGACGCAGCCAUGCCGCGUGGAUGAUGAAGGUCUUAGGAUUGUAAAAUCCUUUCAGCGGGGACGAUAAUGACGGUACCCGCAGAAGAAGCCCCGGCUAACUUCGUGCCAGCAGCCGCGG